GAUGAACGCUGGCGGCGUGCCUAAUACAUGCAAGUCGAGCGAACGGACGAGAAGCUUGCUUCUCUGAUGUUAGCGGCGGACGGGUGAGUAACACGUGGAUAACCUACCUAUAAGACUGGGAUAACUUCGGGAAACCGGAGCUAAUACCGGAUAAUAUUUUGAACCGCAUGGUUCAAAAGUGAAAGACGGUCUUGCUGUCACUUAUAGAUGGAUCCGCGCUGCAUUAGCUAGUUGGUAAGGUAACGGCUUACCAAGGCAACGAUGCAUAGCCGACCUGAGAGGGUGAUCGACCACACUGGAACUGAGACACGGUCCAGACUCCUACGGGAGGCAGCAGUAGGGAAUCUUCCGCAAUGGGCGAAAGCCUGACGGAGCAACGCCGCGUGAGUGAUGAAGGUCUUCGGAUCGUAAAACUCUGUUAUUAGGGAAGAACAUAUGUGUAAGUAACUGUGCACAUCUUGACGGUACCUAAUCAGAAAGCCACGGCUAACUACGUGCCAGCAGCCGCGGUAAUACGUAGGUGGCAAGCGUUAUCCGGAAUUAUUGGGCGUAAAGCGCGCGUAGGCGGUUUUUUAAGUCUGAUGUGAAAGCCCACGGCUCAACCGUGGAGGGUCAUUGGAAACUGGAAAACUUGAGUGCAGAAGAGGAAAGUGGAAUUCCAUGUGUAGCGGUGAAAUGCGCAGAGAUAUGGAGGAACACCAGUGGCGAAGGCGACUUUCUGGUCUGUAACUGACGCUGAUGUGCGAAAGCGUGGGGAUCAAACAGGAUUAGAUACCCUGGUAGUCCACGCCGUAAACGAUGAGUGCUAAGUGUUAGGGGGUUUCCGCCCCUUAGUGCUGCAGCUAACGCAUUAAGCACUCCGCCUGGGGAGUACGACCGCAAGGUUGAAACUCAAAGGAAUUGACGGGGACCCGCACAAGCGGUGGAGCAUGUGGUUUAAUUCGAAGCAACGCGAAGAACCUUACCAAAUCUUGACAUCCUUUGACAACUCUAGAGAUAGAGCCUUCCCCUUCGGGGGACAAAGUGACAGGUGGUGCAUGGUUGUCGUCAGCUCGUGUCGUGAGAUGUUGGGUUAAGUCCCGCAACGAGCGCAACCCUUAAGCUUAGUUGCCAUCAUUAAGUUGGGCACUCUAAGUUGACUGCCGGUGACAAACCGGAGGAAGGUGGGGAUGACGUCAAAUCAUCAUGCCCCUUAUGAUUUGGGCUACACACGUGCUACAAUGGACAAUACAAAGGGCAGCGAAACCGCGAGGUCAAGCAAAUCCCAUAAAGUUGUUCUCAGUUCGGAUUGUAGUCUGCAACUCGACUACAUGAAGCUGGAAUCGCUAGUAAUCGUAGAUCAGCAUGCUACGGUGAAUACGAUCCCGGGUCU
Molecule: ribosomal RNA, 1372 nt
Filed under: uncultured bacterium
Lineage: Bacteria
Description: bacterial SSU rRNA
Rfam family: Bacterial small subunit ribosomal RNA
Source: RNAcentral